This 524-nucleotide ribosomal RNA is filed under the name uncultured bacterium. RNAcentral's name for it is "partial 16S ribosomal RNA". It matches the Rfam family "Bacterial small subunit ribosomal RNA", at positions 28 to 523 of the family's 1533-position model. The record is from RNAcentral.
GACGAACGCUGGCGGCGUGCUUAACACAUGCAAGUCGAACGAGACGAUUGAAAGCUUGCUCUUGAAAGUCGAGUGGCAAACGGGUAAGUAACGCGUAGACAACCUGCCUUUGAGAUGGGGACAACAGUUCGAAAGGACUGCUAAUACCGAAUGUUGUAUAUUUUCCACAUGGAAGAUAUAUUAAAGAUGGCCUCUAUUUAUAAGCUAUCGCUCAAAGAUGGGUCUGCGUCUGAUUAGCUGGUUGGUGGGGUAACGGCCUACCAAGGCGACGAUAAGUAGCCGGUCUGAGAGGAUGAACGGCCACUUUGGGACUGAGACACGGCCCAGACUCCUACGGGAGGUAGCAGUGGGGAAUCUUCCACAAUGGACGAAAGUCUGAUGGAGCAACGCCGCGUGAGUGAAGAAGGGUUUCGGCUCGUAAAGCUCUGUUGUCGGGGACGAAUGUGCAGUAUUUGAAUAAAGUACUGCAAUGACGGUACCUGACGAGGAAGCCACGGCUAACUACGUGCCAGCAGCCGCCGUAA